CCUACGGGUGGCUGCAGUGGGGAAUAUUGCACAAUGGGGGAAACCCUGAUGCAGCGACGCCGCGUGGGCGAAGAAGUAUUUCGGUAUGUAAAGCCCUAUCAGCAGGGAAGAAGAAAUGACGGUACCUGAGUAAGAAGCACCGGCUAAAUACGUGCCAGCAGCCGCGGUAAUACGUAUGGUGCAAGCGUUAUCCGGAAUCACUGGGCGUAAAGGGCGCGUAGGCGGUAAUAUAAGUCAGAUGUGAAAGGUGGGGGCUCAACCCCUAGAGUGCAACUGAUACUGUAUAACUUGAGUGUGAGAGAGGGAAGCGGAAUUCCUAGUGUAGCGGUGAAAUGCGUAGAUAUUAGGAGGAACACCAGUGGCGAAGGCGGCUUUCUGGCUCAUAACUGACGCUGAGGCGCGAAAGCGUGGGGAGCAAACAGGAUUAGAUACCCUUGUAGUC
This 442-nucleotide ribosomal RNA is filed under the name uncultured bacterium. RNAcentral's name for it is "partial 16S ribosomal RNA". It matches the Rfam family "Bacterial small subunit ribosomal RNA", at positions 338 to 795 of the family's 1533-position model. The record is from RNAcentral.